This is a long non-coding RNA of Esox lucius (northern pike), 1318 nucleotides long. The record is from Ensembl. Lineage: Eukaryota; Metazoa; Chordata; Actinopteri; Esociformes; Esocidae.
CUGGCUAGAUGAGUGGCAGUUAAGAGCUCACACACUGAUCUUACUACAAUGAGCUUACAAAGCAAGUUUGGUUCCGCAGCUAAGUUAAUGAAAUACAACACCAUUUACUAGAGAGAAAAAUAUUUUUGAACAGCUGGUCGAGAAAAACAUUUUAAUAAAACAAAAUUAUUCUAUUUACAUGACACCCUUGAAGGUUGUCAUUUACAGAAAAUGUACAAAUAAAGAACUUGUCAAAACAUGAUAUUAAGUAGAUAAUAAAAACAUUGAAGUGCUUCUGACUGGACGCUGACUGACCAAAUUAGGUAGAAACAAAGAACCAUUUAACAUCUGGGUUUAUAUUGUCAGUCUCAGGAUUGAGAAUAUAGGAUCCAGUGCCCUUUUUCAUUAUAAUUUAAGGUUAAAUUGAUCAUAGAUCUCUCACUUAUAGUCAGACACUGUCAAUAGGCCUGAAAUGUAACAAAAGAGUAACUUCCUUGAAGAAUCUAGUCUAGAUCUUUUUAAACUUUGUGGAGGGACAGUACAAUAACAAAAAUCCCACCCAAGGUGUUUUACAAAGCAAAACUGACAAUUUAGUGAAAUAAUCUAAGUCAGUGUGGUAGUUUGGGGCUGCACUGACAGUUAAGGGUGUUAAAGAGGUAGGUUUCUUAGGGAUGGUAGCCUUCACAAGAACACAGUCUUUGAAAUGUAGAACAUCCUUUAAAAUCUGUUGGCGUUCCAACAGAUUUUAAGUUACAUAUAAGAAAAGCUGCCAAAGAAACAUACAAAGCUAGCCUGUGUGCUGUAUAAUCUACAUACAUUUCUUAACAGCAACUUCGUAAAUUUAAGAUUUUAUGAACAGAUUCUAGAUGAACAAAUUCCUAAGAGUAUACCAGCAGUCAACCAGUUUCAUCGCCGGUCACGUCAAUCUCGUCUUCCUCCAAGUCCUCAUCUACUUCAGUCAGUUCUGUGGAGCCUUGCUCAAGCCCAGUCUCCCACACUCUUGGCUGGAUGCCCGGUGAGCACUCCAGAACAUCGACCUCCACCGCCUCCUCUUCCUCCUCCGACUCCCAGCUAAUCGUGGACCUGGUGGUGAUUCUUUGGGAUGAUCCAAAGUCCGAAGGGGUUGGGAGGAUCAAGUCAGCCGCAUUUGGGGCAACGGCGGCAAUUUUGACAUCCCGAGGGACGUCGACAUUAUCAUCGGGGGUGCGUCCGAUGAAUGCAACGGUAGAACACCCUCGAUCCACUUCUCUGACACCAGGACCUUCUUCCCAAGUGAGAAAGAAAAGAGGACAAGCCCAGGGUCAAUAUUUGAAAAAGAUAACAAUGUAUACCAUCAUAG